Molecule: long non-coding RNA, 3869 nt
Filed under: Portunus trituberculatus (swimming crab)
Lineage: Eukaryota; Metazoa; Arthropoda; Malacostraca; Decapoda; Portunidae
Description: uncharacterized LOC123503989
Source: RNAcentral
AACUAGAAUUAAAAAGCUGUUUAAUGGCAGUGACAAAAACACGUACUGGCAACAUUAAAAAGCGUGACUGAUAUAAAGCACACAACAUGGAGAGAGAGAGAGAGAGAGAGAGAGAGAGAGAGAGAGAGAGAGAGAGAGAGAGAGAGAGAGCGCUACUGGUCACUGAGAAGCUAUCCCUCCUUAUCAUUUAUUUGAUUUCACCACAAAACAAACACAGGUCAGAUAUAGUGCCUCAUUGAAUCUACUUUACACAGAUAUUGGGAUUCUGCUCGUCUUCUAAGUUUCAUAUUAUAAUGUCUUACUCCCCUCCCCUCGUUGCAUUGUCAAUGAACUUCUAUAUUUCAAUAACGAAACUAAGAUCGGAAGUAAUACCAACGGCUCUGCACUGAAACUAAAGAAUCUUAGCAGCAAUAGUGGUUUUCUCUUCUGGGGAUAUAUAUGUACUAAGUUACUAAGUUUCAUCGAAUUACGAAAACCUUGAACAAAUCCAUAGGGAACGAAGACCUUUAUACUGAGAACUAAUUUAACUAAAGUAAUACGCAUUUUGUUUGCAACUGCCUUGUAAAAAAACGUGGAAGAUCAGUUAAGGAUGUAAUAUUGUAAUGAAAAUAGCUACAGCUGAGUUUCUUUGGCAACAAGGGGUAAUGCAAAAUAGCUAUAGCUGAGUUUCUUUGGCUACAAGGGGUAAUGCAACUUAGAUUAUGCAAGUAGUGAUUGAAAUUACAGUGCGUGACUUAGGAUGUAAACAACACACGGAGAACCAAAGCAAGUCUCACAUUCCGGCACUCAGGAACAUGACACCGGGUCUUUCCAGCCGAGACUCUUAGCUUCCACGGAAAAUUACUCAGAUAAUACGUAUAUAUCUCAACAAACACUACUACUAUAUACCACUAUUACUAUCACUACCAUACCACCACCACCAACAACAAGAACAACUACUACUACUACAACGACCACUACUAUCACGCUUCUUCGCAUCCAGAGACCUUUGAUAAGAAAUGACACUCCACCAUCAUGUUUGCCAAGCACCAACACUGACCACAAGCCCUGGUGCAUGUGGGUGUACCUCAUUGCGACUCACUAAUUGCUUUUCACCGGGUUCCAUGAUACUAAUUUCCAGGCCAAAAUUACAUGCAAUACUCAACAUGUUUACAGACCUGUCUCUUCCAUGACAAGCUCACCAGUGACGGCCAAUUUAACGACGUCACGAUGCUUUUUAUAGAAUUUGAAAGUAUAAUCCACAGAAUAUCUAAAUGUAAAUGUGGUCUCAAUAGUUUUUCCCACUAGAGUUCCCCUGAGACGGGAGUGAUGGUGGGUUGAUUUCAGUGUGAGGUUCCUUUUAACGAGUCGUGUGUUAUAACUUAAGUGAAACUGAAGGAAGUUGAAGGUGCUUGUUGUGAGGGUCGAAGUAAUAAUGUUGGUAAUAGUGACGGUGAUAAAUAAUAAUAAUAAGGCAUAAAAAGAAGAAGAAGAAGAAGAAGAAGAAGAAGAAGAAGAAGAAGAAGAAGAAGAAGGCAAGAGAUUAUACAUGUGUAAAACAAAACUGAGUAUCACACAUUUCUCAAUCUCGAAGACAAAAUACCGACAUAAUAUUGACAGAAAAUAACACGAACUGAGAAAGAAUAUAUUAAACCUCUCUCUCUCUCUCUAAACUAAUCUUCAUCCCUCGAAAAUCUUACUUAUCUGGACGAAACUGGAUUAUUCAUUUGUAAAUCAACUCUACGCGUUCAGUUUCCUUCAUACAUAUACAUUGUCUAGUAUAAUAUGAACGUUGCUAGGGUAAAAUGCGCGUUCCUUUACCGUAAUACGAUCUCUCUACCUCCUUAUUCCUCCUCUACCGGUUCAACUUUCAGUAAAUACAACAUAAACUAUACUCCUAUGUCUUCAUUAUGACAUGGCAACACCGUGUUUGUUAUCAGUCACUAACUCUACAGAGGAGAAAACAAAUGACAGUCACAACGUCAUGAAGUCUUCCCUCGUAGAAAGCACAACAAUGACAGUUCACUACAUCUCACUGCGUCUUCCUCUGCCGCAGUCAAAUGAGUCAGUACAAGCUAACUCUUCUCUUGUGGAAAUAGUGUGGCAGGAAUUACGAUCUGAAGCGAGAAGUAGGUAUAAGAAAGGUAAAGUUAUGUUAUCACUGUCAAUGUUAUAAGGAUUGCGCGGGAAAUUUAAACUUUAUCACUGUGGACCAAUGCAAGACUAGUUUCACACUACACUGCACUUUGAUCAUUGACUAACUAACGAAAAAAAACAUAAUAAAUUGUAAUGGAAGGACCAAUGCUAUUCAUGCUAUAUGCCUCAACACUACACGAAAAGCUACAAAAUAAAAACGAAUUAAGAUUGAACUAAUGAAAUAGAGAAAAGGUACAACAGAAGAAGCGAACUGUCGGCAACCUGUGAACCUGUGUCUACAAGCGUUCAUACCAUUUAAAUUCACUACACUACAGAAACUAAAAAUAUAAACUAACAGCAGCGUAGAAAAAAAAAAAAAAAAAGAACGAGGUGUAAUUUCUCUAUUAUUCACACACUCAUUUCAGUACGAUACACAGGCAAAAUUAUCACAAACCAGAUGCAGAAUAACAAUAAUAAAAACACGUGAAAAACAAAAGAAUACAUAAUCAGCAUCUGCCAUUGUACGUGGAGGAUGCGAGAAGGGAAAUGCAGUUCAUUUACCUCAAAGAAUAAACGUAUAGUAAAAGAGACACGCAUGUGGUUUGAGUCAACUGGUUAACGCCCCCACUCGGCAAGAUAACACGUUAGCAAGAGGCAACACACUUGUACACCACCACCACCACCACCAUCAUGAUAGCUAAUACACCUGCUCCAUCUCUCAACACCACAGCCAGGCGAGGUGAAUGUUCUUCGUCAGUUUGAUUAUGAAGCAAAACAUGUGUCUUUUCAUGCUGCCCAGGUUGCCUAAUCGGUCAGGCUGGCUUGAUAAGGGGUGAAGUGCAUCGGUGGUGUUAUCUGGAGGCAAUAAAGCACACGGCACGCGCACAAUACGCAUUACACACACACUCACACGAGGCACGCUGCGGUAUUAGAUGGAAGUAUUAGUUUCUGUUUAGCUUCCCUCAGAGAGAGAGAGAGAGAGAGAGAGAGAGAGAGAGAGAGAGAGAGAGAGAGAGAGAGAGAGAGAGAGAGAGAGAGAGAGAGAGAGAGAUAUUACUGCAUCUAUUUUAUCAUGCAGUACGAUACACUGUAAGCAUCCAGCGCACAACAUGCUACAACCACCACGACCACCGCCGCCGCCACCACAUCCCCAGGACUCAAGACGCCCCCAGCCUAGCGCCGCCGAAUGACUGAGGAGUGAGGCCCUUGGCGAGGGAGGUGCAGUGGAAGGCGGUGAUGAGGUACACACACCCUGCCCGAACCCCGCGCGAUCUUCACUGUGACUAGCUGCUGCCGCCACCUCUGCCGCCGCCGCCGCCGCCGCACUUGCCCCGUCAUCAACACCCCACUUGUUCUCACCACCACCACCACCACCCACCCGCCUGUGCUCUACUCCCGAGAUAAUGAAGCACAUCAACCAGCAUGUAACAUGCUAAUCCUGCCAUCUCCACACAAUAAGCGGUAAACAACUUCAUGAGAGACUAACAGUACCUGUCACUAUGGUCUUCAUCUACACUCGCCACUACUCUUUUUCCCCUUGGGACUGGAAAGAGUAAUGAGGGGAACUCGGCGAGGAGUUUUGCCUGACGGGGUCUUGGACGGAGAUGGAACCUUGGAUACUUUAGUGGGAGUUACAGAUUCUCCUUCAAACCUUUUCUUUACUUCCUCAUCUACGUCUGCUGCUUCUUCCUGAAAGAAAAAGAGAAUUUCAACUUAAUUCUUAUAAACAUCAAAAUAAAUUUAUGUGCUCUCAU